Molecule: ribosomal RNA, 88 nt
Filed under: Cycas circinalis
Lineage: Eukaryota; Viridiplantae; Streptophyta; Cycadopsida; Cycadales; Cycadaceae
Source: RNAcentral
UCCCAUCAGAACUCCGCAGUUAAGCGCGCUUGGGUUAGAGUAGUACUAGGAUGGGUGACCUUCUGGGAAGUCCUAAUAUUGCACCCUU